AUUGAACGCUGGCGGCAGGCCUAACACAUGCAAGUCGAACGAGUGGCGGACGGGUGAGUAAUGUCUGGGAAUCUGCCCGAUGGAGGGGGAUAACUACUGGAAACGGUAGCUAAUACCGCAUACUAUCGGAUGUGCCCAGAUGGGAUUAGCUAGUAGGUGGGGUAAAGGCUCACCUAGGCGACGAUCCCUAGCUGGUCUGAGGGGAUGACCAGCCACACUGGAACUGAGACACGGUCCAGACUCCUACGGGAGGCAGCAGUGGGGAAUAUUGCACAAUGGGCGCAAGCCUGAUGCAGCCAUGCCGCGUGUAUGAAGAAGGCCUUCGGGUUGUAAAGUACUUUCAGCGGGGAGGCGUUACCCGCAGAAGAAGCACCGGCUAACUCCGUGCCAGCAGCCGCGGUAAUUC
RNAcentral lists this ribosomal RNA (406 nucleotides) under uncultured bacterium. RNAcentral's name for it is "partial 16S ribosomal RNA". It matches the Rfam family "Bacterial small subunit ribosomal RNA", at positions 30 to 526 of the family's 1533-position model. The record is from RNAcentral.